Molecule: ribosomal RNA, 1488 nt
Filed under: Lactiplantibacillus pentosus
Lineage: Bacteria; Bacillati; Bacillota; Bacilli; Lactobacillales; Lactobacillaceae
Description: bacterial SSU rRNA
Rfam family: Bacterial small subunit ribosomal RNA
Source: RNAcentral
CGACGCUGGCGGCGUGCCUAAUACAUGCAAGUCGAACGAACUCUGGUAUUGAUUGGUGCUUGCAUCAUGAUUUACAUUUGAGUGAGUGGCGAACUGGUGAGUAACACGUGGGAAACCUGCCCAGAAGCGGGGGAUAACACCUGGAAACAGAUGCUAAUACCGCAUAACAACUUGGACCGCAUGGUCCGAGUUUGAAAGAUGGCUUCGGCUAUCACUUUUGGAUGGUCCCGCGGCGUAUUAGCUAGAUGGUGGGGUAACGGCUCACCAUGGCAAUGAUACGUAGCCGACCUGAGAGGGUAAUCGGCCACAUUGGGACUGAGACACGGCCCAAACUCCUACGGGAGGCAGCAGUAGGGAAUCUUCCACAAUGGACGAAAGUCUGAUGGAGCAACGCCGCGUGAGUGAAGAAGGGUUUCGGCUCGUAAAACUCUGUUGUUAAAGAAGAACAUAUCUGAGAGUAACUGUUCAGGUAUUGACGGUAUUUAACCAGAAAGCCACGGCUAACUACGUGCCAGCAGCCGCGGUAAUACGUAGGUGGCAAGCGUUGUCCGGAUUUAUUGGGCGUAAAGCGAGCGCAGGCGGUUUUUUAAGUCUGAUGUGAAAGCCUUUCGGCUCAACCGAAGAAGUGCAUCGGAAACUGGGAAACUUGAGUGCAGAAGAGGACAGUGGAACUCCAUGUGUAGCGGUGAAAUGCGUAGAUAUAUGGAAGAACACCAGUGGCGAAGGCGGCUGUCUGGUCUGUAACUGACGCUGAGGCUCGAAAGUAUGGGUAGCAAACAGGAUUAGAUACCCUGGUAGUCCAUACCGUAAACGAUGAAUGCUAAGUGUUGGAGGGUUUCCGCCCUUCAGUGCUGCAGCUAACGCAUUAAGCAUUCCGCCUGGGGAGUACGGCCGCAAGGCUGAAACUCAAAGGAAUUGACGGGGGCCCGCACAAGCGGUGGAGCAUGUGGUUUAAUUCGAAGCUACGCGAAGAACCUUACCAGGUCUUGACAUACUAUGCAAAUCUAAGAGAUUAGACGUUCCCUUCGGGGACAUGGAUACAGGUGGUGCAUGGUUGUCGUCAGCUCGUGUCGUGAGAUGUUGGGUUAAGUCCCGCAACGAGCGCAACCCUUAUUAUCAGUUGCCAGCAUUAAGUUGGGCACUCUGGUGAGACUGCCGGUGACAAACCGGAGGAAGGUGGGGAUGACGUCAAAUCAUCAUGCCCCUUAUGACCUGGGCUACACACGUGCUACAAUGGAUGGUACAACGAGUUGCGAACUCGCGAGAGUAAGCUAAUCUCUUAAAGCCAUUCUCAGUUCGGAUUGUAGGCUGCAACUCGCCUACAUGAAGUCGGAAUCGCUAGUAAUCGCGGAUCAGCAUGCCGCGGUGAAUACGUUCCCGGGCCUUGUACACACCGCCCGUCACACCAUGAGAGUUUGUAACACCCAAAGUCGGUGGGGUAACCUUUUAGGAACCAGCCGCCUAAGGUGGGACAGAUGAUUAGGGGAA